This 158-nucleotide unclassified non-coding RNA is filed under the name plant metagenome. RNAcentral's name for it is "partial contains small subunit ribosomal RNA and internal transcribed spacer 1". The stretch from base 1 to 46 matches the Rfam family "Eukaryotic small subunit ribosomal RNA", at positions 1786 to 1831 of the family's 1831-position model. The record is from RNAcentral.
AAGUCGUAACAAGGUUUCCGUAGGUGAACCUGCGGAAGGAUCAUUAUUGAUUGGUCGAAAGACCUUAUCAGAUUCUACCACCUCUGUGAACCGUUGACCUCCGGGUUAAUAAUCAAACAUCAGUGUAACGAACGUAAGAGUAUCUUAAUUAAACAAAA